This 538-nucleotide ribosomal RNA is filed under the name Penicillium pimiteouiense. RNAcentral describes it as "eukaryotic LSU rRNA". The stretch from base 161 to 314 matches the Rfam family "5.8S ribosomal RNA". Lineage: Eukaryota; Fungi; Ascomycota; Eurotiomycetes; Eurotiales; Aspergillaceae. The record is from RNAcentral.
CUCUGGGUCCACCUCCCACCCGUGUUUAUCGUACCUUGUUGCUUCGGCGGGCCCGCCGCAAGGCCGCCGGGGGGCUUCCGUCCCCGGGUCCGUGCCCGCCGAAGACACCUGUGAACGCUGUAUGAAGAUUGCAGUCUGAGCGAAAAGCUAAAUUUAUUAAAACUUUCAACAACGGAUCUCUUGGUUCCGGCAUCGAUGAAGAACGCAGCGAAAUGCGAUAAGUAAUGUGAAUUGCAGAAUUCAGUGAAUCAUCGAGUCUUUGAACGCACAUUGCGCCCCCUGGUAUUCCGGGGGGCAUGCCUGUCCGAGCGUCAUUGCUGCCCUCAAGCACGGCUUGUGUGUUGGGCCCUCGUCCCUCCCGGGACGGGCCCGAAAGGCAGCGGCGGCACCGCGUCCGGUCCUCGAGCGUAUGGGGCUUCGUCACCCGCUCCGUAGGCCCGGCCGGCGCCUGCCGGCACCAUCAAUCUUGUUUUUCCAGGUUGACCUCGGAUCAGGUAGGGAUACCCGCUGAACUUAAGCAUAUCAAUAAGCGGAGGAA